Rattus rattus (black rat) is the source of this 589-nucleotide long non-coding RNA. RefSeq lists it as uncharacterized. The transcript is spliced from 2 exons. NCBI's taxonomy places the organism in Eukaryota, Metazoa, Chordata, Mammalia, Rodentia, Muridae. The record is from RefSeq and is a predicted model, not a curated record.
UCAGAGAAUCGCCUGUCUCUGCCUCGCGCGGGCUGAUUAAAUGUGUGCACCACCACUGUACCCAGUGUCCUGUUUUAAAUACAACCUAAAGUUUAGUUUUCUGAACAAAAUGGUGCUUUUCUACAGUCACUACUUAAAACUGUAAUGCAAAGCACAGGCGAGCAGAGGCUCAGCCUUAGAUCCUACAAGAUCACUUACUGUGCCUUAGGGCUCUCAGGUGUUCGCACGGUGGCUUUUAGAGCUACUUAACCGUGCCGUUUGUUUGUCCGUGCAUGCAGAUGUCACCAGCAUAGAUGUGAAUGAAGGUCAGAAUACACGUUUGUGGAGUCAGCUUUCUCAUUUUUCUCUAAUAGAUUUUGGGGAUUGAACUCAAGUUGUCAGGCAUGUGUAACAAUGCCUUAGCUGCUGCUCUCCUGCUGGUGAGGGUGAGGGUGAGGGUGAAGAUUCACCCGCCAUGUCUAGAUUGUGUAGGUGUGGUAUGCCUACAGGAAUCUAGAAGGCCGUGAUAAUUGUCUUGUAACUCAGACUUGUAACAAGAAAUGGUUUCUACUAGUUCUGAUUAGGCUUGUUUCUUACUUAAUUCCCAUCU